Apis cerana (Asiatic honeybee) is the source of this 1561-nucleotide long non-coding RNA. RefSeq lists it as uncharacterized. Lineage: Eukaryota; Metazoa; Arthropoda; Insecta; Hymenoptera; Apidae. The record is from RefSeq and is a predicted model, not a curated record.
AGAUGAUCCUUUAUUUGCUAGUACGCAAAAAUGCCGUUAGUAGGCAGCACAUGCUACGCAUUGUUGUUACUGGCGGGUAAAAGAAUCGAUACCGAAAAUUUCGAUACAGAAGACUGUAAUUUAUACGUGUUUCUUAAUCCAUCCAAUUUUAAGAAAGCAGAAAUAUAUAUAAAUAGUUAAUACUGUUCCUGAAAAAUGUAGAAAUUAUCUUCGUGAUGAAAUGGAUUGGAUGGAUACAUUAGACCGCACCUGUAAAGGCGCGCCUCUUUUGAACCAGUUCACGGGACCAAUUACGCCCGCUGAGCAAACUUGUCCUAUCGUUGGUGAUUUUGUUCAACCGUUUUUGGCGAUGGCCACGUUUCCAAAUCCAUAUAGAUUUGUCAGUCAACAAUUUAUUCAUCUACUGUGUAAAUUCAACAUAUUAUGCUUAUAUGUCUAACUAAUUGCUUAUACAAGAAUUACUUGCUGUUCCACUAUCUCUUAAUUUCUGUUAUUGACAUUGGCAUGAUUGUUCGAUGCGAUUGUAAUAUUAUAGAUCAAUGCUUUUCUCCAAGGAUACUACGAUUGCGAGCUGUAUAUAGAGAACGAGAUUAACGUCAAGGAAAACCAGGAUAAUGAAAUUACGCGUGGAGAGAAGGCACAUGAGAAACUUUACAAGAUCAUUCAUCACUUCUAAGAUUUCCUUGGAAACGACAAUGAUAUUUAUGUUGAACGUAAGCAUGGAAUCUUAAUUGAUCUUUAUUUUUUGUUAAUUAGUUUUAAUAAGAUUCUUUAUAUUAUUUAUAACUUUUAUAAAUUAACUUUAUCUCUGUGAUCAGAUGAACGAAUCCAUGAUUAAAUUUUAAACAACGCAUUAAUCAUAGAAUUAUAAGCUUACAAAUUACUCUGUAAUUAGAUAUAAAAAAAUAUUUCCAUUUUAUGUUGUUUUUAUUGCUUAUUCUUUUUUUUUUUUUUUUUAAUUAUUAUUUCUUACAUCUUACGUAAGUGUAAUGUAAAAUUCUCUAACCACGAGUAUUGUUGUCGAACUACGCAGUGGUGCCAAUAGUACCUAUUACAAGUUUCACUGUUGAAUGUAAACAGAGCGCAUCGAUGCAAUAUUGAGACAUAAAAUAACGAUCAGCAACAACGUUAACCAUAAUUAUGAUAAUAAUUAUCUUGCGAUUGUUCUACAACGAUGAAAGUUAUCCAAUUCUUCGAAUUAAAGAAUUAAUUAAUAUUUUCACAUUUCCCAAAUAUAUGUAACUCUCUUUUUUCUUUUUUCUUCGUUCUUUCCUUUAAGCAAUCUUUUUUGGAACCGGACGAAGAAGGCGUAAGCACAGAUAUUAAGAUAUGAUUUUGAUUUUGUUCACGGAUGAAUCACUUCACACGCACGCGAUAUAAGGUAUUCACUUGGAACGUUGCAUUUGCAUAUUAACCCUCCCCCCAAUGCUAAAAAUAAACUUGUGAAAAUUCAAUUUAACGUUCAAAUAUAUUUUUCGAUAACAUCCUUUAGAAUCGUGUCCGUGAUCUGAUAUAAAUCAUCCGUCCAAUUAUAUAGAUCUUAUUAAUUAAUGACAGAUUU